This 439-nucleotide ribosomal RNA is filed under the name uncultured bacterium. RNAcentral describes it as "partial 16S ribosomal RNA". It matches the Rfam family "Bacterial small subunit ribosomal RNA", at positions 339 to 795 of the family's 1533-position model. The record is from RNAcentral.
CUACGGGAUGCUCCAGUGAGGAAUAUCGCACAAUGGGGGGAACCCUGAUGCAGCAACGCCGCGUGGAGGAUGACGCAUUUCGGUGUGUUAACUCCUUUUAUAUGUCAAGAAAAUGACGGUAGCAUAUGAAUAAGCACCGGCUAACUCCGUGCCAGCAGCCGCGGUAAUACGGAGGGUGCAAGCGUUACUCGGAAUCACUGGGCGUAAAGGACGCGUAGGCGGGUUGGAAAGUCAGGUGUGAAAUCCUACAGCUUAACUGUAGAACUGCACUUGAAACUUCUAAUCUAGAGUAUGGGAGGGGGAGAUGGAAUUAGUGGUGUAGGGGUAAAAUCCGUAGAUAUCACUAGGAAUACCUAAAGCGAAGGCGAUCUCCUGGAACAUUACUGACGCUAAGGCGUGAAAGCGUGGGGAGCAAACAGGAUUAGAUACCCUAGUAGUC